This 323-nucleotide ribosomal RNA is filed under the name uncultured eukaryote. RNAcentral's name for it is "partial 18S ribosomal RNA". It matches the Rfam family "Eukaryotic small subunit ribosomal RNA", at positions 1470 to 1796 of the family's 1831-position model. The record is from RNAcentral.
CCCUUAGAUGUUCUGGGCCGCACGCGCGCUACACUGAUGCAUUCAACAAGCCUAGCCUUGACCGAGAGGUCCGGGUAAUCUUUGAAACUGCAUCGUGAUGGGGCUAGAUUAUUGCAAUUAUUAAUCUUCAACGAGGAAUGCCUAGUAAGCGUGAUUCAUCAAAUCGCGUUGAUUACGUCCCUGCCCUUUGUACACACCGCCCGUCGCUGCUACCGAUUGGUUGAUCUGGUGAAUUAUUCGGACUGCCGGCUGAAGGGGUUUCCUCAUCUGCCAGCGGAAAGUCUUGUUAACCCUAUCAACUAGAGGAAGCAGAAGUCGUAACA